GACGAACGCUGGCGGCGUGCUUAACACAUGCAAGUCGUACGGUAAGGCCCUUUCGGGGGUACCCGAGUGGCGAACGGGUGAGUAACACGUGAGUAACCUGCCCACAACUUUGGGAUAACGCUAGGAAACUGGUGCUAAUACUGGAUAUGUGCCCCUGCUGCAUGGUGGGGGUUGGAAAGCUCCGGCGGUUGUGGAUGGACUCGCGGCCUAUCAGCUUGUUGGUGGGGUAGUGGCCUACCAAGGCGGCGACGGGUAGCCGGCCUGAGAGGGUGACCGGCCACAUUGGGACUGAGAUACGGCCCAGACUCCUACGGGAGGCAGAAGUGGGGAAUAUUGCACAAUGGGCGCAAGCCUGAUGCAGCAACGCCGCGUGCGGGAUGACGGCCUUCGGGUUGUAAACCGCUUUCAGCAGGGACGAAGCUUUUUGUGACGGUACCUGCAGAAGAAGCACCGGCUAACUACGUG
Molecule: ribosomal RNA, 465 nt
Filed under: uncultured bacterium
Lineage: Bacteria
Description: partial 16S ribosomal RNA
Rfam family: Bacterial small subunit ribosomal RNA
Source: RNAcentral